This 2111-nucleotide ribosomal RNA is filed under the name Salmonella enterica subsp. enterica serovar Ituri. RNAcentral describes it as "partial 23S ribosomal RNA". It matches the Rfam family "Bacterial large subunit ribosomal RNA", at positions 711 to 2802 of the family's 2925-position model. Lineage: Bacteria; Pseudomonadati; Pseudomonadota; Gammaproteobacteria; Enterobacterales; Enterobacteriaceae. The record is from RNAcentral.
AGACCCGAAACCCGGUGAUCUAGCCAUGGGCAGGUUGAAGGUUGGGUAACACUAACUGGAGGACCGAACCGACUAAUGUUGAAAAAUUAGCGGAUGACCUGUGGCUGGGGGUGAAAGGCCAAUCAAACCGGGAGAUAGCUGGUUCUCCCCGAAAGCUAUUUAGGUAGCGCCUCGUGAAUUCAUCUCCGGGGGUAGAGCACUGUUUCGGCUAGGGGGCCAUCCCGGCUUACCAACCCGAUGCAAACUGCGAAUACCGGAGAAUGUUAUCACGGGAGACACACGGCGGGUGCUAACGUCCGUCGUGAAGAGGGAAACAACCCAGACCGCCAGCUAAGGUCCCAAAGUCAUGGUUAAGUGGGAAACGAUGUGGGAAGGCCCAGACAGCCAGGAUGUUGGCUUAGAAGCAGCCAUCAUUUAAAGAAAGCGUAAUAGCUCACUGGUCGAGUCGGCCUGCGCGGAAGAUGUAACGGGGCUAAACCAUGCACCGAAGCUGCGGCAGCGACGCUGAUGCGUUGUUGGGUAGGGGAGCGUUCUGUAAGCCUGCGAAGGUGGCCUGUGAGGGUUGCUGGAGGUAUCAGAAGUGCGAAUGCUGACAUAAGUAACGAUAAAGCGGGUGAAAAGCCCGCUCGCCGGAAGACCAAGGGUUCCUGUCCAACGUUAAUCGGGGCAGGGUGAGUCGACCCCUAAGGCGAGGCCGAAAGGCGUAGUCGAUGGGAAACGGGUUAAUAUUCCCGUACUUGGUGUUACUGCGAAGGGGGGACGGAGAAGGCUAUGUUGGCCGGGCGACGGUUGUCCCGGUUUAAGCGUGUAGGUGUGUGUUCCAGGUAAAUCCGGUUCACUUUAACACUGAGGCGUGACGACGAGGCACUACGGUGCUGAAGCAACAAAUGCCCUGCUUCCAGGAAAAGCCUCUAAGCAUCAGGUAACAUCAAAUCGUACCCCAAACCGACACAGGUGGUCAGGUAGAGAAUACCAAGGCGCUUGAGAGAACUCGGGUGAAGGAACUAGGCAAAAUGGUGCCGUAACUUCGGGAGAAGGCACGCUGACACGUAGGUGAAGUGAUUUACUCACGGAGCUGAAGUCAGUCGAAGAUACCAGCUGGCUGCAACUGUUUAUUAAAAACACAGCACUGUGCAAACACGAAAGUGGACGUAUACGGUGUGACGCCUGCCCGGUGCCGGAAGGUUAAUUGAUGGGGUCAGCGCAAGCGAAGCUCCUGAUCGAAGCCCCGGUAAACGGCGGCCGUAACUAUAACGGUCCUAAGGUAGCGAAAUUCCUUGUCGGGUAAGUUCCGACCUGCACGAAUGGCGUAAUGAUGGCCAGGCUGUCUCCACCCGAGACUCAGUGAAAUUGAACUCGCUGUGAAGAUGCAGUGUACCCGCGGCAAGACGGAAAGACCCCGUGAACCUUUACUAUAGCUUGACACUGAACAUUGAGCCUUGAUGUGUAGGAUAGGUGGGAGGCUUUGAAGUGUGGACGCCAGUCUGCAUGGAGCCGACCUUGAAAUACCACCCUUUAAUGUUUGAUGUUCUAACGUGGACCCGUAAUCCGGGUUGCGGACAGUGUCUGGUGGGUAGUUUGACUGGGGCGGUCUCCUCCUAAAGAGUAACGGAGGAGCACGAAGGUUGGCUAAUCCUGGUCGGACAUCAGGAGGUUAGUGCAAUGGCAUAAGCCAGCUUGACUGCGAGCGUGACGGCGCGAGCAGGUGCGAAAGCAGGUCAUAGUGAUCCGGUGGUUCUGAAUGGAAGGGCCAUCGCUCAACGGAUAAAAGGUACUCCGGGGAUAACAGGCUGAUACCGCCCAAGAGUUCAUAUCGACGGCGGUGUUUGGCACCUCGAUGUCGGCUCAUCACAUCCUGGGGCUGAAGUAGGUCCCAAGGGUAUGGCUGUUCGCCAUUUAAAGUGGUACGCGAGCUGGGUUUAGAACGUCGUGAGACAGUUCGGUCCCUAUCUGCCGUGGGCGCUGGAGAACUGAGGGGGGCUGCUCCUAGUACGAGAGGACCGGAGUGGACGCAUCACUGGUGUUCGGGUUGUCAUGCCAAUGGCACUGCCCGGUAGCUAAAUGCGGAAGAGAUAAGUGCUGAAAGCAUCUAAGCACGAAACUUGCCCCGA